This 490-nucleotide ribosomal RNA is filed under the name uncultured bacterium. RNAcentral describes it as "partial 16S ribosomal RNA". It matches the Rfam family "Bacterial small subunit ribosomal RNA", at positions 30 to 507 of the family's 1533-position model. The record is from RNAcentral.
AUUGAACGCUGGCGGCAGGCCUAACACAUGCAAGUCGAACGGUAACAGGAAGAAGCUUGCUUCUUUGCUGACGAGUGGCGGACGGGUGAGUAAUGUCUGGGAAACUGCCUGAUGGAGGGGGAUAACUACUGGAAACGGUAGCUAAUACCGCAUAACGUCGCAAGACCAAAAAGGGGGACCUUCGGGCCUCUUGCCAUCGGAUGUGCCCAGAUGGGAUUAGCUAGUAGGUGGGGUAACGGCUCACCUAGGCGACGAACCCUAGCUGGUCUGAGAGGAUGACCAGCCACACUGGAACUGAGACACGGUUCAGACUCCUACGGGAGGCAGCAGUGGGGAAUAUUGCACAAUGGGCGCAAGCCUGAUGCAGCCAUGCCGCGUGUAUGAAGAAGGCCUUCGGGUUGUAAAGUACUUUCAGCGGGGAGGAAGGGAGUAAAGUUAAUACCUUUGCUCAUUGACGUUACCCGCAGAAGAAGCACCGGCUAACUCCGUG